AACGAACGCUGGCGGCAGGCCUAACACAUGCAAGUCGAACGCGCGUAGCAAUACGCGAGUGGCGCACGGGUGAGUAACACGUGGGAAUCAACCCUGAGGUUCGGAAUAACCGCGGGAAACUGCGGCUAAUACCGGAUGUCCCCCAUGGGGGAAAGAUUUAUCGCCUUGGGACGAGCCCGCGUCCGAUUAGCUAGUUGGUGAGGUAACGGCUCACCAAGGCUACGAUCGGUAGCUGGUCUGAGAGGAUGACCAGCCACACUGGAACUGAGAUACGGUCCAGACUCCUACGGGAGGCAGCAGUGGGGAAUAUUGGGCAAUGGAGGCAACUCUGACCCAGCCAUGCCGCGUGGGUGACGAAGGUCUUCGGAUUGUAAAGCCCUUUCGGCGGAGACGAUGAUGACGGUAUCCGCAGAAGAAGCCCCGGCUAACUUCGUGCCAGCAGCAGCCG
RNAcentral lists this ribosomal RNA (448 nucleotides) under uncultured bacterium. RNAcentral describes it as "bacterial SSU rRNA". It matches the Rfam family "Bacterial small subunit ribosomal RNA", at positions 29 to 520 of the family's 1533-position model. The record is from RNAcentral.